RNAcentral lists this long non-coding RNA (1411 nucleotides) under Homo sapiens (human). Its description in RNAcentral is "FTX transcript, XIST regulator". Lineage: Eukaryota; Metazoa; Chordata; Mammalia; Primates; Hominidae. The record is from RNAcentral.
GUUUCCAAAUGCUUGUUACUCUUUGCCGUAAACCUGGAAUUUGGACCUAUGGCUGCCUGGGACUCAUACUGUCGUGGAGAAAGAUUGAAAAGUAGUUAAUGGCAGUGGUGGUAUGAAGGUGAUGCCACACUCAAUCAGAAACUAUGCUACUGCUGAAGAGGUAUAUUGAGCCCUGCCUGGUUAACCUCCAGUGAGGUUAUUAGAGAAUUGGGAGAGGCUCAAAUCAGCAUCCUGCACCUAGUUAUCAAACCAUUGUGAAGUCUUGAUUCCUGGAUGGCCAGAAAACUUGUCAUUGGUCAAGAGCAACAUUAAGAUCUGCCUGUUACUCAUACUGAUGCUUCCUGCCCAGCAAGUUCAUCAGAGGGCGAGGAUGAAUUACGGUUGCCAUGAAUGUCCUUGUGAGGCAGUUGGGAAGCCUUGGCUGGAUUGUGAAGGAUAUUUGAAAAGUAUUUUAGAGUCCACCAGAUCAUCCAUGUGAGUGACCAUGCAGCAAAAGAAGGAGGGUCCUCUCAGUGAUUAAGGAUUAUGAAGUAUUAAUUCUUCCACUGAUAUCUCAAAAGGUGAUCUGGACAAAGGAACAGGUAUCUCAGAUUCCCAGUUCUCAAUCUUCCUUCCUCCUUACAAGAUACAAGCAACCUUCAACCUUCCCAGAGAUGGUCUCUGUAUAUGAAAGACAAUGGUCUUAUUAUGAAGUCGGCAUAUUUAUAGCUUGAUAAAAACUGAAAAAUCUGUAGCCUAUUUUUAAUAGUGAUAUAUAAGGAAAUAACAUAAAUAAAAAUUUGGCAACAAGAAUCCAGGAGCAAAUUUAUGAUCAAUACACAAUUGGGCAAGUGGUGUUCAUACCAACCAUGCAAAAAUGGUUCAAUUUUAGGAAAUCUUUGAAUAUAGCUUUUAGUAGGUCAGAGGAAAUCAGUAUCUCAAAGUACUUUCAUGAUUUAGUUAUUUUUAAGUUAUUGAUCAUUUUGGAUUUUAUUUUGAGGUUGAUAGCCAUAUAAUGAUUUCACAUUUUAUUUUAAAUGGCUAGCUGUUGUCCCAAUACUAUUUACUGAAAAAUCUACAUUUUGCUCACUCUUUUUUUUUUUUUUUAAGAGACAGGGUUUUACCAUGUUGCCCAGGCUAGAUUUGAACUCCUGGGCUCAAGUGAUCCUCUCGACCCAGCCUCCUGAGUAUCUGUGACUGCAGGCAAGUACCCCUGUGCCUGCUCACUUAUUUAAAGUUCUACACAUCAAAUACUAAAUUCUCAUCUAUUUGACUUCUGGACUCACUGGUUGGUGUCAUUGACUGUCUUUUCCUGUGAUAGCAUAGAAUUAUUUUGAUUGUGGAAGUACUAUAAAUGUUGCUAUUUAUUGUGCCUCUUGCUGCCUAUCUAUAUUUAGACUCAUUUAUGUGAUGCCAUUCUGUAUACUCUAAA